GGAAGGGAAGGGAAGGGAAGGGAAGGGAAGGGAAGGGAAGGGAAGGGAAGGGAAGGGAAGGAAUCAGCUAUAGAAAGCCUUUUUUUUUUUUCUUUUUCUUUUUUAAUUAGAAAGUUGGAGCAAAGGGAGCAUUUAAGUAUGAAAAACAAGUAAAGCAGAUCUUCAUUAGAGAUGGCUUUGCUCAGUACUAUGAGCCUCCAUUUCCCUGCCGCUGCAGCUGCAUCUCUUUAGAGGACAUCCGUGCCAUUCUGUGCAAUUGCUUCUGGCUGGAGGAUGCUCCAUGUACAUAGAGUUCUUCCCAAGCCAUGAUUUCAGAGGAUGGGAUUUCCCUGCCAAUAGGAAAUCAGCAGAAAAUCUCUCAUCAACUGGAAAAGGUAAUUAAAGAAGAGAAUCAGACAAUUUUAAUGUAUGGAAGAACCAACUUUCCUGGAAUCUAUCUACUAGCAAAAUCGUAGCUUACUAUUGCCUUCACAUCCUGUUCUUGCCAUCAUACGUCAAAACUAGUCACCACCUAUCCACUGCCAUGGUUACCCACAAGUGAACUCAAAUGUGAAGGUGCCAUAAUCACAUCCAUUGCCUACUAUUCCUUGCAUCUCUUCUAUCUGUUGGACUAUUCACUUAGUGACAUUUGAGAGGGGGAAAAGGAUCUUCAGCUCCUUGGUAUGGGCAUGUUUAGGGCUAUCCAUGAGGGUGAAGCAUCUCAUUGAUCCUGGAAAGAGGAAUUAAUUAAGAGUUUCAGAACAUGGACAUGAAAAAAGCAACUAUGUGAGUUUGGAGAUACUGUCAAUAGGAAAAACAAAAAAUUUAAAAACCUUUUUUUUUUUUCCUGCUGUGAGGAACCUUCUGUGUUUUAUUUACACCUUUUAAAUAUACCACAGUCUUUGUAUUUGAAGUCUGCUCUUCCAGCUUAAUCAUUGUAGGUGAGAGAGUAGCAGAGGACUUCAGUUGUCCAUUCAGUUUCAUUUAGGAUUUGUGAAUGAGGAUCUGAGUGACAGAUCACUAUUACUAUAUUGCUAUAUUGCUAUAUAGCAAUAUAAAAAAAAAUAUAGCAACUAUAUUGCAACACUGGAUGCAUGGGAGAUGUCUCCUAGCAUGAACAUCCAGGAGCUAAAGCACACAGAUUAUAUACAUUCAGCAUGUGAAUAUUCAUACAAUUUACACAAAGUUCCUGCUUAUUCCAAGAAUUGCUAUACAUAUUAAAAUCUAAUCUAAUACUACACAUACGCUGUGUUAAUGUUUGUCUCUUGCAAGAGGACUUUGGUGGUCACGGAGUUCCACUGAGAGGUGUUAUUCAGGCAAAAGAUCACAUGUGAUGUAGGCCAGGUCCCAUAUUUGGUCAAGAACUAUUAUGUGUUAUUUACAAAACACAUGGUUGUUGAUUAGGUUUCCAGUU
RNAcentral lists this long non-coding RNA (1393 nucleotides) under Chrysolophus pictus (golden pheasant). RNAcentral's name for it is "lncRNA (ENSCPIG00010004813.1)". Lineage: Eukaryota; Metazoa; Chordata; Aves; Galliformes; Phasianidae. The record is from RNAcentral.